CCUACGGGUGGCAGCAGUCGAGAAUCAUUCACAAUGGGGGAAACCCUGAUGGUGCGACGCCGCGUGGGGGAAUGAAGGUCUUCGGAUUGUAAACCCCUGUCAUGUGGGAGCAAAUUAAAAAGAUAGUACCACACGAGGAAGAGACGGCUAACUCUGUGCCAGCAGCCGCGGUAAUACAGAGGUCUCAAGCGUUGUUCGGAAUCACUGGGCGUAAAGCGUGCGUAGGCUGUUUCGUAAGUCGUGUGUGAAAGGCGCGGGCUCAACCCGCGGACGGCACAUGAUACUGCGAGACUAGAGUAAUGGAGGGGGAACCGGAAUUCGCGGUGUAGCAGUGAAAUGCGUAGAUAUCGAGCGGAACACUCGUGGCGAAGGCGGGUUCCUGGACAUUAACUGACGCUGAGGCACGAAGGCCAGGGGAGCGAAAGGGAUUAGAUACCCGAGUAGUC
This 446-nucleotide ribosomal RNA is filed under the name uncultured bacterium. Its description in RNAcentral is "partial 16S ribosomal RNA". It matches the Rfam family "Bacterial small subunit ribosomal RNA", at positions 338 to 795 of the family's 1533-position model. The record is from RNAcentral.